GUUUCGUCAAAUUUGAUAACAAUAUACUUUAAUUGAGGUAAAAAUGAUAAUACUCAAAAUAAUUCUAGAAAAAGACGUUGAAACGUUCACCCUGGGCACCACGUACCUCGGAGACGGUUGCCGUAUCGAUAUUCGUAUUCAGUGACCC
This is a long non-coding RNA of Neodiprion fabricii, 148 nucleotides long. RefSeq lists it as uncharacterized. The transcript has 3 exons. The record is from RefSeq and is a predicted model, not a curated record. Lineage: Eukaryota; Metazoa; Arthropoda; Insecta; Hymenoptera; Diprionidae.